This 831-nucleotide non-coding RNA is filed under the name Potamyia chinensis. The record is from RNAcentral. Lineage: Eukaryota; Metazoa; Arthropoda; Insecta; Trichoptera; Hydropsychidae.
AAAUUAUUUCUAGUUUAGUUUUUAUUGUUAAUUUAAAUUAUAUUUAAUUAUUUAGAUGAAAAAUUUAUUUAAAUAAUAAGUUUUUAGAUUUUAGAUUUAAAAAUAUAAUAAUUAAUUUUAUUAAAUUAAAAAAUUUUAAUUUUUAGUAAUAUUAAUAACUUAUAAAUUAAAAUUGUGCCAGCAAUUGCGGUUAAACAAUUUAUAAAAAUAAAAAUUAUUAAAUUUUAAAUAUAAAAAUAGAAUAUUAGAUUUAAAAUAAUUAUUUAAAUUAUUAGGUAAAAUAGAAAAUUUAAAUUUAAGUAUUAUUAAUUAAAUUUUUAAAGUUUUUUAAGGUUGAUUGUAGACUAGGAUUAGAUACCCUAUUAUUCAAAUUAAAUAUUAUAGAUAAAUUUAAUUAGUAAAUAAAAAAAUUUAAAAUUAAAGGAUUUGACGGUAUUUAAAUCAAUUUAGAGGAAUUUGUUUGGUAAUUGAUAUUCCACAAUUUAUUUAACUUACAAUGAAAUAAAAUUUAUAUAUCGUUGUUAUAAAAAUAUUUAUAAAAAAAAUAAUAUUUUAAAAGUUAAAAUUAAAAUUAUAUCAAAUCAAGAUAUAAUUUAUUUGUAAGUACUUAAUGAAUUACAAUAAUAAAAAUUGUUUUAAUUAUUAAUUUAAAUAAUGAAAGGUUUAGUAUUAAUUGGAUUUAAUUGUAAUUAUUAAAUAUUUUUUUUUAAUGAUUUUUGUUUUUAAAUAUGUACAUAUUGCCCGUCACUCUUAUUAGUUUAAUUUAAAUAGUUAAGAUAAGUCGUAACAAAGUAGAGAUAUUGGAAAAUGUUUCUAGAUAGAAAAUUAAAU